Molecule: ribosomal RNA, 415 nt
Filed under: Pseudomonas sp. enrichment culture
Lineage: Bacteria; Pseudomonadati; Pseudomonadota; Gammaproteobacteria; Pseudomonadales; Pseudomonadaceae
Description: bacterial SSU rRNA
Rfam family: Bacterial small subunit ribosomal RNA
Source: RNAcentral
CAGUGGGGAAUAUUGGACAAUGGGCGAAAGCCUGAUCCAGCCAUGCCGCGUGUGUGAAGAAGGUCUUCGGAUUGUAAAGCACUUUAAGUUGGGAGGAAGGGCAGUAAMUUAAUACUUKWCUGUUUUGACGUUACCGACAGAAUAAGCACCGGCUAACUCUGUGCCAGCAGCCGCGGUAAUACAGAGGGUGCAAGCGUUAAUCGGAAUUACUGGGCGUAAAGCGCGCGUAGGUGGUUUGUUAAGUUGGAUGUGAAAUCCCCGGGCUCAACCUGGGAACUGCAUUCAAAACUGACUGACUAGAGUAUGGUAGAGGGUGGUGGAAUUUCCUGUGUAGCGGUGAAAUGCGUAGAUAUAGGAAGGAACACCAGUGGCGAAGGCGACCACCUGGACUAAUACUGACACUGAGGUGCGAAGC